ACACCGUUCAGGCUCCAGAGAAUUACUUCUCAUUCCUUGCCCUGUGUUCUUAAAAUAAAAAAGGUGACUCCAUCCAAAGGCCAUGAAGUCUUACAGCUGUACUACUGCUACUUACAUCAGAAACAAGCACUACUUUGGAGUGUGGGAAAAGAUUUGAGCAGCAGAAGCUCUUAGGGCCAUAUAGCAAAUUGAUUUUAGUUUUUAAGGGAAAUUUCAGAUUUUGGUCUAGGCUAUCCAUUCAACUCACCGGAAAAGCGAUGGAGACAAGGACUCAAGGUUGUACUACUGGCCAGGAAUGAAGUCAGUGCACUUGGCUGCUGCAUUCCCUGAGGUGUGUCUCUUGGAAUUUGGUGUCUUCUUCAAGCUCCUGGAUCUGCCUCUCUCCAGCAUCUGCCUGCUGUCCCAUAUAUACUAAAAUAUAGACAAAAUUAAACAUGCUUAAAGAAAUCUUCUGCAUUUCUAUGGCGGUGAUGCUGAUGGAAGUCUCGAGGAGGCCCAAGAACUGCUGGGUUGUUCUUCCUAAGUAUUCAGAGGAGUGAAGUUGACUACUGUAUUCAGAGGCAGUUAAUUUCCUAAGUGCAAGGCUUUAUUCAUUUUGAAGAGAACUUGGAUUGGCUGGUGUUCCAGAAACUGCAACAAAGAAACUCAGACAAAUAAGACACGAGAAAAAUUCAAGCAACUCCUCUCCAUGCUUCAUAAAUGAUCAGCAGAACUCCACCUAACCACAGACCAGGUGUUUCCGGCUCGCAUUUUUCUGCCUGACAGACCCCCGCAGAGGAUCUGUCUCUGGCCACGACGAGGACCUCGUGACUGAAAGCAGAAGAAUUUCGCCUAUUCCUAAGUGUGGGCAAGACACUGGAAAAAAUGUGUAUCAAUCAUCAAGAGUUGAAAACGCAGCUUCAAAAGUAUGUAACUGACCUGUAUAUGAGAAAGGAAGUCCCUGCUGUCCCCAUCCUCCCUUACCCCAGCCCCUGUGGUCAAGAGACUGAGUGACUGAGGAAUUAUGUUGAUGGUAUUGAAUACAACAACUCCAGCUGAGCAAGAAAGUCUGUGGCAGUUGAAGAAUUCUUGGUCUGGGAGUAAGGAGCCUUCCCAGGGAAAGGCAGUAGACUUAAGGCUUUAUAGAGAAGAUGGCUCCAGACCUUUGACCUUACUUGGAGCUUCAGAAAGUCAUUGCAGCACAUGGUAUUUUCUAAAGAUGGCCACAACAGUAUCUUUUGUCCCCAUGCUCUUCUACAAUGUGAUCUAUUUGCCUAUCAAGAGGUUGAGUCUCAUUCUUCUUCCAGACUUGUGACUGCUUCAACCAAUAGAGUAUGCAAAAGAGGGGCUGUGUGAUUCCCAAGACCGUUCACAAAAGGCAAGGCAGCAUUGUUUGCUGGAAUACUCUUGCUUUAUUCAGGCUACUUUCUAUAAAAAAGAAAUCUAUACUGUUAAGGAUGAACUAAGCCGUUUAUGUAUCUUUUUUCUCCCCCUCUCAUGUAUCUACGUCUGUCUAUC
Molecule: non-coding RNA, 1497 nt
Organism: Kogia breviceps (pygmy sperm whale)
Lineage: Eukaryota; Metazoa; Chordata; Mammalia; Artiodactyla; Physeteridae
Source: RefSeq, a predicted model, not a curated record